ACUCCUACGGGAGGCAGCAGUGGGGAAUAUUGCACAAUGGGGGAAACCCUGAUGCAGCCAUGCCGCGUGUGUGAAGAAGGCCUUCGGGUUGUAAAGCACUUUCAGUAGGGAGGAAGGUAGUGUAGUUAACACCUGCAUUAUUUGACGUUACCUACAGAAGAAGCACCGGCUAACUCCGUGCCAGCAGCCGCGGUAAUACGGAGGUGCGAGCGUUAAUCGGAAUUACUGGGCGUAAAGCGCAUGCAGGCGGCCUGUUAAGUCAGAUGUGAAAGCCCGGGGCUUAACCUCGGAAUUGCAUUUGAAACUGGCAGGCUAGAGUCUUGUAGAGGGGGGUAGAAUUUCAGGUGUAGCGGUGAAAUGCGUAGAGAUCUGAAGGAUACCAGUGGCGAAGGCGGCCCCCUGGACAAAGACUGACGCUCAGAUGCGAAAGCU
This 432-nucleotide ribosomal RNA is filed under the name uncultured bacterium. RNAcentral's name for it is "bacterial SSU rRNA". It matches the Rfam family "Bacterial small subunit ribosomal RNA", at positions 335 to 761 of the family's 1533-position model. The record is from RNAcentral.